This is a long non-coding RNA of Entelurus aequoreus (snake pipefish), 2015 nucleotides long. RefSeq lists it as uncharacterized. The record is from RefSeq and is a predicted model, not a curated record. Lineage: Eukaryota; Metazoa; Chordata; Actinopteri; Syngnathiformes; Syngnathidae. The transcript is spliced from 4 exons.
GAAAUCUUUGCUUUGUGCUAAAGUCAACAGUGACUGAGUUUGAGCUCAAAUAAAUGCCGUGAUGUCUGCAGCCCUUUGCAGAAGGCAGCAGACAUUAAAGCUUCCACAAUGGGCUCCUGCAUGUGUUGGGCUUCACAACAAGCACCGUUUUGCACAGGGCUCUGCUGACUGAAGUGAUCCCGGCGGGCCGAGUGCGGCUGAGGAAGGAGCGGCAGCCUGGCAGGGAAGAUGGGAUGGCGGCGGGGAAGAGCUCCACUGAUGCUGCACACACUCAAACGCAAACACAUUUCAGCGCUCACACAAUGUCCCUCUCAGUCGUGGCUUGUGACCGGUCCACGGCAUUGGCCAGAAGACCCGUUGAUGAGCGUGAAAUGAGUCUGGGGCUCAUUGACAGUUCAAGAUGGAGAGCAAACUGAGAUUAGACCGGGUUAAUUAAUUGUGGCCUUGGCAAAAUGUCUUCCCAUCCCGUGGAAGACUUUCUCUGUCUUCCACGGGGUGGGAAGAAGACAAAUCUUCCUGCCAAUCACUACCUAAAUGACAUUUUCAAACUUUAACCAGUGUUUUCCAUACAUUCAUUUACUCGUGGCGGCCAUAUUAGUUUCCACAGAGUUUGGUGACUAUUCCUAUAGAUGGCUUUCCGCCUCUCCUUCCUGCCCGCUUUCAUCGACGCCGUCCCAGCGAGCCGUCCGCCAGGCCCAGUCGAUGUACUUGGCCAUAUCUGCAUGCGACCUGUCUGCCAUAUGUAAUAUCAAAGCCUCUGUCAGCAUGAAGCUCAACGGGAACAAAAGAGAGGCCUUCAUUAAUGAUUAACUGUUCUAAAAGCCCCGGCUUUUGUAUUCCCAUGGUGCCGAGGCUAUCUGGCCGCCAUGUGACAUGCUCGCAGCGUUUUUCGAGCAGAUUGGGGGAAAGCUAGUGAGCAAACACAGGUGCUUUGGAGCAGCGUUGGCGACGCUGUCAGGGACAACCACAAACAAGAACAGCUAUGCCCAGCUAAAUGAAUCCCCCCCGCCCCGGCCCCCCGACCACUCCUACCCCCGUCUCCCUGUCACUAGCUAACUUGUUUGCCAGCGUUCAGGACUGGGGUCCGACCCCCCCUCCGUCCCACAAGUCCAAUGUCCACCACAACUUCUCACACCCUCAAAAGAAACAAACAAAUAAAAGUGAGGACGGCCGACCGCUUCUUUGAGGUGAUGGCAUUUGCUGCGGUCUUGACUAGUGGAAGAGCAAACAAAUUAACAGUGUUCCAGUUUUCACUUUCCAAACCAAACUAAACGUCUUUUAGUUCAAGUGGGGCAAUUCCACUGACCCCCGUGUCAACUGCGGCGCAAGGGCUUGCACGCUCAUGCACUUGAAAUGACCAGAAAUGAGUACUUUAAUACACCUCAAAGUGACGUGUGACUAACAAACGGUGGCUGCGUUUAGUCGCCAUCUGACAUAUGUUUUAACCCCUAACGCUGAAUGAUAGCAGCCCCGGCCCAAUUAACUUUUUUUUUUAUCCAGACUGACUUGAUUGUUCACACUGACUGAGCUCCUGUGUCGCUCUUUACUUUGAUAAGACAAUCUGAUGAUAGGAUGGCCUUAUCUUAACACGGCUUUCCGGGUGGGAGACAAAUGAACAAUGUGUGAUAACGGGAACAAAAGCUCACCUCUUAUUGGCCCACCCCUCCUCUGAAUGGAAAAAUCACCAGGAUGGAAAAUUCCCUAUCUUAUUCUCAAUUUUCUCCCAAAAGCCCUAACCCAACCAUGAGCAUCCUUCGUUUUUAUGAACAAAAGAGGAUAUUAAGCUGUAAAUGUGGAGGAAAACGAGUGCAGAAUUAGGUCACAAGGGGGAGUAUAAAAAAAACUUGGUACUUUUUAUUUAAUUGUGCAUAUGUAACUACAAGUAUUUUAUCAACAUUCUUUGAUUAAUGCUAAUUUUAAUUAAGUCUGAUUGUUUUUAUGAUUGUAUUUUCUGAUUUGAAUUAGAUUACAUUUUUACUUUGCCUUCUUUGAUAUGUCUUGUGUACGAAUUGUGC